AGAGCGAACGCUGGCGGCAGGCCUAACACAUGCAAGUCGAGCGCCCGUAGCAAUACGGGAGCGGCAGACGGGAUAGUAACACGUGGGAACGCGCCCUUCGGUUCGGAAUAACUCAGGGAAACUUGAGCUAAUACCGAAUACGCCCUUACGGGGAAAGAUUUAUUGCCGAAGGAACGGCCCGCGUCCGAUUAGCUAGUUGGUGAGGUAAUGGCUCACCAAGGCUACGAUCGGUAGCUGGUCUGAGAGGAUGACCAGCAUCACUGGGACUGAGACACGGCCCAGACUCCUACGGGAGGCAGCAGUGGGGAAUAUUGGACAAUGGGCGCAAGCCUGAUCCAGCCAUGCCGCGUGGAUGAUGAAGGCCUUAGGGUGUAAAGUCCUUUUAACGGGGAAGAUAAUGACGGUACCGUAGAAUAAGCCCCGGCUAACUCGUGCCAGCAGCCGC
Molecule: ribosomal RNA, 445 nt
Filed under: uncultured bacterium
Lineage: Bacteria
Description: SSU rRNA
Rfam family: Bacterial small subunit ribosomal RNA
Source: RNAcentral